GGAGAUGUGGCGAAACUGGUAGCCGCACUGUCUUGGAAAGGCAGCGGGAGAAAUACCCUUGGGGGUUCGAGUCCCUCCAUCUCCG
RNAcentral lists this transfer RNA (85 nucleotides) under Spirochaetota bacterium. RNAcentral describes it as "Spirochaetes bacterium tRNA-Ser". It matches the Rfam family "tRNA". From Rfam's summary of the family: Transfer RNA (tRNA) molecules are approximately 80 nucleotides in length. The record is from RNAcentral. Lineage: Bacteria; Pseudomonadati; Spirochaetota.